RNAcentral lists this ribosomal RNA (253 nucleotides) under uncultured bacterium. RNAcentral describes it as "partial 16S ribosomal RNA". It matches the Rfam family "Bacterial small subunit ribosomal RNA", at positions 524 to 776 of the family's 1533-position model. The record is from RNAcentral.
GACAGAGGGUGCAAACGUUGCUCGGAAUCACUGGGCGUAAAGGGCGUGUAGGCGGGAAGGAAAGUCAGAUGUGAAAUCCCCAGGCUCAACCUGGGAACUGCAUUUGAAACUCCCUUUCUUGAGUACCGGAGAGGAAAGUGGAAUUCCUGGUGUAGAGGUGAAAUUCGUAGAUAUCAGGAGGAACACCAAUUGCGAAGGCAGCUCGCUGGGACGUAACUGACGCUGAGACGCGAAAGCGUGGGGAGCAAACAGG